CCUACGGGAUGCUGCAGUGGGGAAUAUUGGACAAUGGGCGAAAGCCUGAUCCAGCCAUGCCGCGUGUGUGAAGAAGGCCUUCGGGUUGUAAAGCACUUUCAGUGGGGAAGAAAGCCUUGGGGCUAAUACCCUCGAGGAAGGACAUCACCCACAGAAGAAGCACCGGCUAACUCCGUGCCAGCAGCCGCGGUAAUACGGAGGGUGCGAGCGUUAAUCGGAAUUACUGGGCGUAAAGCGCGCGUAGGCGGUCUGAUAAGCCGGUUGUGAAAGCCCCGGGCUCAAACUGGGAACGGCAUCCGGAACUGUCAGGCUAGAGUGCAGGAGAGGAAGGUAGAAUUCCCGGUGUAGCGGUGAAAUGCGUAGAGAUCGGGAGGAAUACCAGUGGCGAAGGCGGCCUUCUGGACUGACACUGACGCUGAGGUGCGAAAGCGUGGGUAGCAAACAGGAUUAGAUACCCCGGUAGUC
RNAcentral lists this ribosomal RNA (465 nucleotides) under Vreelandella stevensii. RNAcentral's name for it is "partial 16S ribosomal RNA". It matches the Rfam family "Bacterial small subunit ribosomal RNA", at positions 338 to 795 of the family's 1533-position model. The record is from RNAcentral. Lineage: Bacteria; Pseudomonadati; Pseudomonadota; Gammaproteobacteria; Oceanospirillales; Halomonadaceae.